GCCGGUGUGGCGAAAUGGCAGACGCACGGGACUUAAAAUCCCGAGGCCUUCAACAGCCGUGCGGGUUCGAAUCCCGCCACCGGCACCA
Molecule: transfer RNA, 88 nt
Filed under: Verrucomicrobia bacterium ADurb.Bin006
Lineage: Bacteria; Pseudomonadati; Verrucomicrobiota
Also listed under: 1 other name
Description: tRNA-Leu
Rfam family: tRNA
About the family: Transfer RNA (tRNA) molecules are approximately 80 nucleotides in length. Their secondary structure includes four short double-helical elements and three loops (D, anti-codon, and T loops).
Source: RNAcentral